Molecule: non-coding RNA, 327 nt
Filed under: Streptomyces afghaniensis 772
Lineage: Bacteria; Bacillati; Actinomycetota; Actinomycetes; Kitasatosporales; Streptomycetaceae
Description: Bacterial small subunit ribosomal RNA
Rfam family: Bacterial small subunit ribosomal RNA
Source: Rfam by way of RNAcentral
UUCACGGAGAGUUUGAUCCUGGCUCAGGACGAACGCUGGCGGCGUGCUUAACACAUGCAAGUCGAACGAUGAACCACUUCGGUGGGGAUUAGUGGCGAACGGGUGAGUAACACGUGGGCAAUCUGCCCUGCACUCUGGGACAAGCCCUGGAAACGGGGUCUAAUACCGGAUACAACCACUAGGGGCAUCUCUUGGUGGUGGAAAGCUCCGGCGGUGCAGGAUGAGCCCGCGGCCUAUCAGCUUGUUGGUGAGGUAAUGGCUCACCAAGGCGACGACGGGUAGCCGGCCUGAGAGGGCGACCGGCCACACUGGGACUGAGACACGGCC